GUCGUGGAGCUCAAGUAUAAAUUCCAGCAGAAACACAGCAUGCAGGACAGCUAGAUGGAAACGAAGGCUCAAAGGUAAAAAUAUUUCGCUGGCAUGAAGUCUCCAGGCAUGCCGAAUGUUUGUUGUGGAUUAUUGGUUUUAGCAUGCCUGCUAUCCAUUUUCCUAAUACUACCCAAGCAAGGCCCUGCAGUCUCAUCUCUCUGGGAGAAUUCCUCUCCCAGAGGCUACUUUUGUUCUCCCUGGAUCUUGCCAGACAGAAAAUAAACAAGAGGGGUUGGUUCUUUAGCAAGGAGCAAUUCUCAAAACCUCUCUGACUUGAAGAGG
This 324-nucleotide long non-coding RNA is filed under the name Rattus norvegicus (Norway rat). Its description in RNAcentral is "long non-coding RNA NONRATT008162". Lineage: Eukaryota; Metazoa; Chordata; Mammalia; Rodentia; Muridae. The record is from RNAcentral.